Small nuclear RNA from Nannospalax galili (Upper Galilee mountains blind mole rat), 182 nucleotides. Its record names the gene U2. It matches the Rfam family "U2 spliceosomal RNA". From Rfam's summary of the family: U2 is a small nuclear RNA (snRNA) component of the spliceosome (involved in pre-mRNA splicing). Complementary binding between U2 snRNA (in an area lying towards the 5' end but 3' to hairpin I) and the branchpoint sequence (BPS) of the intron results the bulging out of an unpaired adenosine, on the BPS, which initiates a nucleophilic attack at the intronic 5' splice site, thus starting the first of two transesterification reactions that mediate splicing. NCBI's taxonomy places the organism in Eukaryota, Metazoa, Chordata, Mammalia, Rodentia, Spalacidae. The record is from Ensembl.
AUUGCUUAGCCUUUUGACCAAAUCAGUUGUAGCAUCUGUUCUUACCAGUUUAAUAUGUGAUAUGUACUCUUUCCAAGUACAAUGUAUUAUAUAUAGUGUAAUAGAGCAGGGAAAUGGAAUAGGAGUUUGCUAUACAUUCAUUCCAUGUGUAGACUCAGUAUUGAAGGAAUAGUCCACCCCUU